GCCAUCAGAGCUCACCAACACGAUCUUUUGGGAAGACAUAUUGGUUUCGUCGAUCGUUUUGUGGUGUUUUUUUGGGUGAUGAAAAAAAAGAAUUGAUCUAUGAAUUAUGCAAAGAUGUGUGAAUGAAAGGAGUCGAAGAAGGUCUCUAUUUAUAAUGUUUAGGAGUCGGUUAAUCUCUUAAUUGUGAUUUCCUAUUCACAAUCGAAAAACAUGUAUAUCUUCCUUUAAUGAUGAUGAUGAUCAUGUAGAUGCAUCUGAGGAGACGAAGAAGAAGCUCAAGGAUUGCGACGAGGAGUUCAUGAAGAAUCUCGUUCUUGAUACGAUCUUUAACCUCAUUGAAGAUUAAAACCCUAGAAUUAUUCCAAAGCCUAGCUUUUUGUUUUGUUUCUUUUCUUUUUCUUUUCCAUUUCUUUUCCAAUAAAAUAUCUGUUUCUCAAGUAUGUGAUCAACUUUAUGGCUUAUGUUUCAUCUCCAUUCUAAGCUUAUAUCCGAUAGCUAUAUAAUCCCUGACCCUCCGGUGAAUGUAGCUUGAGGAAUCCCAUAACAUGAUUUGGUGAAUGAGUUAUAAGUUUUUGUUUAUCAAGUGUGUGAUCAACUUUUGGGUCUCUUUAAUUUCGUUGUUAAUUCUUUACUUAGAUAAUUGACUACA
Molecule: long non-coding RNA, 649 nt
Filed under: Capsella rubella
Lineage: Eukaryota; Viridiplantae; Streptophyta; Magnoliopsida; Brassicales; Brassicaceae
Description: long non-coding RNA (CRUB_LNC002432)
Source: RNAcentral